Molecule: long non-coding RNA, 30692 nt
Filed under: Gossypium barbadense (sea-island cotton)
Lineage: Eukaryota; Viridiplantae; Streptophyta; Magnoliopsida; Malvales; Malvaceae
Description: long non-coding RNA (GBAR_LNC022198)
Source: RNAcentral
AGAUGACUAAAAACAUUAUUAAACCAGAUCCAGUAUGCAGCAUACAAGAAAAGAGGGUAUUUCAAGGAGUAGAACGAGAAGGUGGUGGAGAAAAGGAAGGAAUAGAGGGAACUGCAGUUGGGAUUGAGGGAAUGCUUGGCAGAGGCGGCAGUCCUCUUGGCAAUGUGGUAGGAAGUGGAGGAAGCGCCCCAGGGUUUGGGAUAUUAGGGAAAGAUGGCAAUGGCGGAAAAGAGAAAGGAAUAGGGGGAAUUGCAGUUGGGAUUGUGGGGACUGAGGGAAUGCUUGGCAGAGGGGGCAGUCCUGUUGGGAAUGUGGUAGGAAGUGGAGGAAGCGCCCCAGGCCAUAAGAAUGAUGGUCGGGAUGGCGUUGGGAGAUUAGGGAAAGAUGGUAAACUUUGCGUUCGAGGCUGCUGCAGAAGGUGACGAGCUGCUACCCCAACAUCAAUGCCUGCAAAUGACAAAGCAAUCAAGAAUGCUAAAGCAAAGCAAUUGAAAGAGGCCAUUUUUGUUCAAAGAUUUUGAAACAAAUGAAGCAGAUGAAACGAAGUUCUUUAUCUGAAUAGUUGUGAGUGAGGAAAACAAAGCAUGGUAUUGAGGUUUAUAUAGGCAUUGGAGCAGUGAAUAGAAAUCCCCUGCCCCUAAACAAUGCUCCAUGCAUGCCCUCAAACCAAAAUAGCUCCACAUGUUUUUUAUUUUUUUCAUUUUAAUUUUUUUAAAUAAAAACUCUGUAAUGAUUUGAAUUAAUUUUUAACUUAUUAUCAACGUUUUUAUUUUUGUUUUAUUUUUAUUUUACAUUAAUUUUACCUAUUCUUUAAUUAAAAAAUUUAUAAUGACUUAGAGUUAAUUUGAGAGAGUUUUUUUUAUAAUUGGUCUUAUAAUAAAAUUUUACAAAGCAGAAACAAGUUCCACUGUGAAAACAUGAUCCUUAAAUUUUUGGAGAUAACCAUGUUAAUUUUUUAAUCCCAACCAAAAUUCGAAAUAAUUCUUUUAUGUCAUAUUAAAUACACGUAACGUCUUAUAAAAAUUGUCAAUAAAUUAUGCAUAGUGACAAGGUUAUUCAAAUCUAAUUUCAUUGUUAAUACCUAUUUUUAUUUUUCUUCUACUGUCUUCAACUUUAAAUAUAAAGGGAUUGAAAUUUUAAGAAUUGAGAUUUCUUUUCUCUGUAUUAGCGGACGUCUUAUUUUUUGUUUGAUUGUUUUUUUUACUGGAAUUGACACAUAUCUUUUCAGAUUUAUCAAUAUUUUUAAAAUUUAUUUAAGAUAUUAUUGGGAAUUAUCCAUAUUUAUGGAAAAUCAAAGAUAUGGGUAUCAAAUAUUGGAAAGUCAAAGAUAUGGGUAUCGAGAUAUUGGCAUAAUAAAAUCUGAGAUAUUUGCAAUAUAUGGUCCCUAAUUGUAAAGUGACUUUGCAAGUUGAUCCCUGAACCUCAACUAUAAAUAGGCAUAACCAUCUCUCAUUCUGUAUCUCAAACUUGCCAUUCUCUACUUAAGGCAUUGUUUUCUCUCUCUCUCUUUGUAAAUUCUCACUUGUAUUUUGGAGUGAAAUAUAUUUGGUAGUGCCCGAGGACGUAGGCAAAAUUUGCUGAACCUCAUUAAAUUCUUGUGUUCUUUAUUGUAUUAUUCUGCAUGAAUUGUGUGUGUGAUUGUAGUGAUUUAUUGUGCUAUUAAAUUACGAUUGAGGGAUAUUCUGGCUAGGAAAGACCUGGUACUUAAGUGAUCCUUGUGAUCCACCUCUCUUUCCUGGGAAUUGAACUUAGUGUGAUUUUUUAGUACAAUAAUUUUACUCUUUUACACGCUUCCGCACAACAAUUGGUAUCAGAGCUAGAUUCGUACUUGAGGAAUACGAUCGUUCACGGCACUGUUCACGUACUGUAGUUGGGAUUGAGGAGAAAAAGAUGGAAAAGUCAUCGUCAAAGACUACUGUGACCAAUGCGAAAUUUGAAGUAGAGAAAUUUGAUGGUACCAAUAAUUUUGGUAUGUGGCAAUGUGAGAUCCUGGAUGUCUUAUGUCAACAAGAGCUGGAUAUAGCCCUUGAAGAAAAACCUGACAAGAUGGAUGACAAGGAGUGGGCCAAGAUCAAUAGACAGGCAUGUGGAACAAUUCGCCUAUGUUUGGCCAAAGAGCAGAAGUACUCUGUCAUGAGGGAGACAUCAGCGAAGAAGUUGUGGGAUACACUGGAAGAAAAGUUUCUAACAAAAAGUCUUGAAAAUAGGCUUUAUAUGAAAAAAAAACUUUAUCGAUUCACGUAUGCACCCGGUAUGUCGAUGAAUGACCAUGUGAACUCAUUCAAUAAAAUUUUAGCAGACUUGCUAAAUUUGGAUGAGAAAUUUGAAGAUGAAGACAAGGCAUUAUUGUUGUUGAAUUCCCUUCCUGAUGAAUAUGAUCAUCUUACCACCACAUUGCUUCAUGGGAAGGACACGAUCACAUUUGAUGCAGUCUGUAGUGCGUUGUAUAGAUCUGAGACUCGAAAGAAAGAUAAAAGAGAUCACAGAGAUACAACCGCAGAAGUCUUAACAGUAAGAGGUCGUUCACACAGUAGCAAAUCUGGUAGAAGGGGAAAGUCCAAAGGGAGACCCGCCAAAGAUGAAUGUGCCUUUUGCCGUGAAAAAGGGCAUUGGAAAAAGAAUUGUCCUAAGCUACAAAAGGGCAAGGCUAUUUCUAAUGCAUGUGUAGCGGAGCAUGAUGAGGAGUCAGACUUUAGCUUGGUUGGCAUGGCAAUGGCAUGUCAAACGGAUGAGUGGAUUUUGGAUUCAGGAUGUACUUACCAUUUGUGCCCUAAUAAGGACUGGUUUUCUAGUCUUAAAGAGCUAGAAGGUGGAAUUGUUCUUAUGGGAAAUGAUAGUGCUUGUAAGACAAUGGGAGUGGGUACAGUCCAAUUGAAGAAUCACGACGGCUCAAUCCAAGUCUUGACAGAUGUUCGCUACGUACCUAGCCUGAAGAAAAAUCUCAUCUCAUUAGGUGCCCUAGAAUCUAAAGGGCUCACAAUCACUUUGAGAGAUGGAUUACUAAAAGUAGUAGCUGGGCAACUGACGGUGAUGAAAGGCACAAGAAGAAAUAACUUGUAUUUUUUAAAUAGAAGUACAGUUAUUGGAUCAACAUCAACAGUUUCUACAAAAGAUGUAGAUUCAGAGGCUACCAGAUUAUGGCAUAUGCGAUUGGGACAUGCUGGUGAAAAAGCUUUGCAGACAUUGGUGAAGCAAGGCUUAUUGAAAGGUGCAAAUUCUUGCAAAAUGGAAUUCUGUGAACAUUGUGUUCUGGGCAAGCAGAAGAGGGUAAAAAUUGGUCCAGCAAUUCACAAUACGAAAGGAAUUCUGGACUACGUUCACAGUGAUGUGUGGGGACCUACCAAAGUAGCUUCUUUGGGAGGUAUGCACUAUUUUGUUACUUUUGUUGAUGAUUAUUCAAGAAAAGUAUGGGUGUAUCUAAUGAAAAGAAAAAGUGAAGUUUUGGAUGCAUUUCUGAAAUGGAAGAAGAUGGUGGAGACUCAGACUGGUCGAAAGGUCAAACGACUUCGAUCAGAUAAUGGUACUGAGUACAAAAACGAUCCAUUUCUACAAGUACGCCAAGAUGAGGGCAUUGUGCGACACUUCACUAUUCGGGAUACACCACAGCAAAAUGGGGUGGCAGAACGAAUAAAUCGAACUAUACUGGAGAAAGUUCGAUGUAUGUUGUCCAAUGCUGGAUUGGGCAAAGAAUGUUGGGCUGAGGCAGUUACAUAUGCGUGCCAUCUAAUUAACUGUUUGCCAUCAGUUGCAAUAAAUGGAAAAACUCCUAUGGAGAUGUGGACUGGUAAAUCUGCUACUGAUUAUGAUUCUUUGCAUGUAUUUGGUUCCACUGCAUAUUAUCAUGUAAAAGAAUCUAAGUUAGACCCAAGAGCAAAGAAAGCAUUAAUCUUGGGUAUAACUGAUGGAGUAAAAGGAUAUCGUCUCUGGUGUCCUGAUACAAGGAAGAUUGUUUUCAGUAGAGAUGUGACUUUUGAUGAAUCAACCAUGUUGAAGUACAAGGAUUCACAAAAGGAUGACAAAACCAGUAGCACUUUGUAGCAGGUGGAGCUUGAAAAGGUUAACGAUGAUCCAGCUAAUAUUGAAGGGACAAAUGAUGAAGAGGUUCCUACCCAAGAAUCUCUACAGCAACAAGAUUCAAUUGCAUAUAGAAGGCCAAGAAGAGAGAUUCGUAAGCCUGCUCGCUUUGAUGAUAUAAUGGCCUAUGCACUUCCAAUUACAGAUGAUGAUGUUCCUUCUACUUACACAGAAGUAAUAAGUAACCCUGAUGGUGUAAAGUGGAAGCAAGCAAUGAAUGAAGAAAUGCAGUCUCUUCAUAAAAAUAAGACCUAGGAGUUGGUGGCACUACCCAAGGGAAAGAAGGCAAUUGGAUGCAAAUGGGUAUAUGCAAAGAAGGAAGGAUUUCCUAAUAAAAAUGAAAUUCGAUACAAGGCUAGAUUAGUAGCAAAGGGUUACGCUCAGAAAGAAGGAAUAGACUACAAUGAAGUGUUUUCUCCAGUUGUGAAGCAUUCGUCUAUUCGGAUCUUGCUAGCCUUGGUUGCGCAAUAUGAUCUUGAACUAGUUCAGCUUGAUGUGAAGACCGCGUUUUUACACGGUGAUUUGGAAGAGGAAAUCUAUAUGACUCAGCCAGAUGGAUUCAAGGUUGCUGGAAAAGAAAAUUGGGUUUGCAAACUGACAAAGUCGCUUUAUGGAUUGAAGCAAUCUCCAAGGCAGUGGUACAAGCGAUUUGAUCAGUUCAUGAAAGGGCAAAGGUACACAAGAAGUAAAUUUGAUCAUUGCGUGUAUUUUCAGAAGCUACAAGAAGGAACUUUCAUAUACUUUCUCUUAUAUGUUGAUGAUAUGCUAAUAGCAUCUAAGAGCAAAGUUGAGAUUGAAAGAUUGAAGACUCAACUCAAUCUCGAGUUUGAGAUGAAAGAUUUAGGAGAAGCUAAAAAGAUUCUCGGCAUGGAAAUUUGGAGAGAUAGAGCUCAUGAUAGAGUUAGCUUGUCUCAGAAGCAGUAUUUGAAAAAGGUACUACAGCAGUUUGGCAUGAACGAGCAGACAAAACCUGUAAGUACCCCGUUGGCUUCUCAUUUCAAGCUUUCUGCACAACUAUCUCCUUCGACGAAUACGGAACGAGAAUACAUGUUGCAAGUUCCGUAUUCUAAUGCAGUGGGUAGCUUGAUGUAUGCAAUGGUGUGUACAAGACCCGACAUUUCACAGGCAGUUAGUAUAGUGAGCAGGUAUAUGCAUAAUCCUGGAAAAGGACAUUGGCAAGCUGUGAAAUGGAUUCUACGGUAUAUUCAUAAGACCAUGGAUAUUGGAUUACUGUUCAAGCAGGAUACUACACUUGGUAAAGGUGUUGUUGGGUACGUUGAUUCUGAUUAUGCCGGUGAUUUGGACAAACGAAGAUCAACCACUGGUUAUGUGUUUACUCUUGCUGAAGGACCAAUAAGUUGGAAGUCUACACUGCAGUCUACAGUUGCGUUGUCAACCACAGAAGCUGAAUACAUGGCUGUAACAGAGGCUGUAAAGGAAGCUAUUUGGUUACAAGGUAUGGUUAAAACCUUGGGAUUGGUCCAGGAGCAUAUUAAUGUGUAUUGUGAUAGUCAAAGUGCUAUUCAUUUAGCAAAGAAUCAAGUCUAUCAUGCACGUACAAAGCAUAUCGAUGUACGUUUCCACUUUGUGCGGGAAAUUAUUGAUGAGGGGAAAAUUCACCUUCAAAAGAUUAAGACUGCAGAUAAUCCCGCAGAUAUGAUGACCAAGGUGGUAACAACAAUCAAGUUCGAACAUUGUUUGAACUUGAUCAAUAUUCUGCAUGUUUAACAGUUGAAGAAGGCACUAUCAAGUGUUGUUGACAAAGGCAGAGAGAAUUGUGUGAAGAUAAGAUUACUCGAAUCAAAUCUUCAAGGUGGAGAUUAUUGGGAAUUAUCCAUAUUUAUGGAAAAUCAAAGAUAUGGGUAUCAAAUAUUGGAAAGUCAAAGAUAUGGGUAUCAAAUAUUGGAAAGUCAAAGAUAUGGGUAUCGAGAUAUUGGCAUAAUAAAAUCUGAGAUAUUUGCAAUAUAUGGUCCCUAAUUGUAAAGUGACUUUGCAAGUUGAUCCCUGAACCUCAACUAUAAAUAGGCAUAACCAUCUCUCAUUCUGUAUCUCAAACUUGCCAUUCUCUACUUAAGGCAUUGUUUUCUCUCUCUCUCUUUGUAAAUUCUCACUUGUAUUUUGGAGUGAAAUAUAUUUGGUAGUGCCCGAGGACGUAGGCAAAAUUUGCUGAACCUCGUUAAAUUCUUGUGUUCUUUAUUGUAUUAUUCUGCAUGAAUUGUGUGUGUGAUUGUAGUGAUUUAUUGUGCUAUUAAAUUACGAUUGAGGGAUAUUCUGGCUAGGAAAGACCUGGUACUUAAGCGAUCCUUGUGAUCCACCUCUCUUUCCUGGGAAUUGAACUUAGUGUGAUUUUUUAGUACAAUAAUUUUACUCUUUUACACGCUUCCGCACAACAGAUAUGUAUAUAAAUAUAUUACAAAUAUAAGAUAAAUGAAACUAAAUACAUUUCAAAUAUAAAAUAUUCAUUAAUAAAUUGAACAAAUAAAAAUUUAUCAUUCAAAUAAAUCUAAAAGUAUUAAUAACAAUCCAUCAUUUAAUAUGAAAUUUUAUGGAUUUAGCUCAUUUACUUAAUAAAAGAAGCUAAAAGGUGAACGAAUAUAUUUUUUCUUUGAUAAUCAGGUGAACGGUUUUUUCUUAAUUAUAUUUUGAAUGUGAAAGUAUAUUCCAUUUUUUAAAAAACUUUACAUUCCGAUGUAACAUUUUUAAUUAGUCACGUUUCAAUUAAGUUUUUAGCAUAAUAGUAAAUAAUUAAAAGUUUAAUAUUUUUAAUAUUAUUCAUGCACAGGACGGUGCAUUAUGUUCUGGCAAGUGUGACAGGAAUUGAUCGGAAUGAGUUGGUGCAAUUGGUACGGACCGAAAUUUUAACCAGUGUAGAAAAAGCGUGUUGGGUGUUUCGCAAUGUUAUUGAAACCAAACUAAACAGACCAAGAACCGAUGAACCCGAGGACUAGAGCAAGCUGCAGUUAAACUACAAAUCAUCAGCUGGUUAAGCCGUAUUUUAACAUUUUCUAAACUGGAAAACUGAAAAUUUCACUUCAAAUCGCUUGAGCUUUUGUCACACUUCUUCUCUGCACUCAAUGAAAUAAAACACAGCAUAAAAAUAUAAGCACCAUUUCUUUUAUUACUUUUUCUACUAAAAUAAGUUUUUUUUUUCUCGUAAAAAACCUAAGAUGGGGAGAAGAUUUUAAAAUUCAAAACCUUCGAAAUAUAUGAGUUUGAGGUUGUUAAUAUUAUUUUAUAUUUUUGAAUAGUAAAUUAAUUGUAUUGGUGGUUUAACUUAUUGGAUCGAGAAUUAAUGAUUUGAUUGAUUUGAGUUUGUGCUGCUCACUAUCUAGAUUGCAUUUAUCAUUUAAUUCUUUUUUUAAUUAGCCAAAAUCAUGUUAACAAUUCAUGGACCGAACAUCAAUAUAUAAAUACACAAACAAAUAUAAUGGGAAUUGGAGAACUCCCAUUUAUGCAAACAAAUAUAAGUGGACAAAUUCAAUACUCAUAAUAAAUACACAAAGAUGACUAAAAACAUUAUUAAACCAGAUCCAGUAUGCAGCAUACAAGAAAAGGGGGUAUUUCAAGGAGUAGAACGAGAAGGUGGUGGAGAAAAGGAAGGAAUAGAGGGAACUGCAGUUGGGAUUGAGGGAAUGCUUGGCAGAGGCGGCAGUCCUCUUGGCAAUGUGGUAGGAAGUGGAGGAAGCGCCCCAGGGUUUGGGAGAUUAGGGAAAGAUGGCAAUGGUGGAAAAGAGAAAGGAAUAGGGGGAAUUGCAGUUGGGAUUGUGGGGACUGAGGGAAUGCUUGGCAGAGGGGGCAGUCCUGUUGGGAAUGUGGUAGGAAGUGGAGGAAGUGCCCCAGGCCAUGAGAAUGAUGGUCGGGAUGGCGUUGGGAGAUUAGGGAAAGAUGGUAAACUUUGCGUUCGAGGCUGCUGCAGAAGGUGACGAGCUGCUACCCCAACAUCAAUGCCUGCAAAUGACAAAGCAAUCAAGAAUGCUAAAGCAAAGCAAUUGAAAGAGGCCAUUUUUGUUCAAAGAUUUCGAAACAAAUGAAGCAGAUGAAACGAAGUUCUUUAUCUGAAUAGUUGUGAGUGAGGAAAACAAAGCAUGGUAUUGAGGUUUAUAUAGGCAUUGGAGUAGUGAAUAGAAAUCCCCUGCCCUUAAACAAUGCCCCAUGCAUGCCCCCAAACCAAAUUAGCGCCACAUGUUUUUUAUUUUUUCCAUUUUAAUUGUAGUUCAUUUUUUAAAUAAAAAAUUUAUAAUGAUUUGAAUUAAUUUUUAACUUAUUAUCAACGUUUUUAUUUUUGUUUUAUUUUUAUUUUACAUUAAUUUUACCUAUUAUUUAAUUAACAAAUUUAUAAUGACUUAGAGUUUAUCUAAUAGAGGUUUUUUUUUAUAAUCGGUCUUAUGAAAAAAUUUUAUAUGGUGGGAACAAGUCCCACAGUGACAACAUGAUCCUUCAAUAUUUGGUGGUGGCAUGCCUUUAGUCAAAGGAUCAGCUAACAACUGCUCAAUGCUAAUGUGCUCAAUGACCAAUUUCUUUUCUUUAACAUGUUCCCUCAUGCCUAGGUACUUAAAGUCGAUAUGUUUACUUCGACUUCCACUUCUUCCGUUCUUAGCCAUAAAGACAGCAGUUGAAUUGUCACAAUAUAUGAAAUAAUCAAAACCCAUAAUGACUCAGCCCAAAAAUCUCGAGCUUCAAACCCAAAUUAAAUUAAAUCAAAACCAUAAUUUAUUAUGUACAAUUGCACAAAAUUAAUAUAAUUUAAGUGUGUCAUACUGCACAUUAAAUUAAAAUUUACGUUUGACAUUAUAGAUAAUAUUCACGUGUAAAAUUUUGAGAUUUAUUCCCUUAAUUAAAGUAAUAUGUCAAAUAGAAUACUUGAACAAUCCUCCAUGUUGGCAAAGUUUAUGUACAGUAGUAGAAGCGAACUAAAUAAUUAGAAUAACUCUAAAGUAUGGCUUACAUAUAAUUUAUUCACAAUGUGACUUAAACUUUGUCCUUCAAGAUUUCACGGUCUCAAUUUAUGUCUUAAAAUUUUAAGAUUAUUUUAGGUUUGUUAAAAAAUUAAAAGUUUAGAAAGUUAGAAUUGUUGCUUGAGGCGUGAAUAUCUUUAUUCUUUAGGAUAUUUGCGGAUUUACCAUCUCUCGGGAUUUUGUUUGUAUCAUGCACAAUGAAAAAAUUGAAAAAAAAAAUUUCACAUUUGAAUGGAAUUGAGCUGUUAGGCUCAAGCCUCAUGUGCGCAUAUAUAUUCUCUUAUUUUGAGUCUUACAAGUUUAUAGUAAACCAAAUCUAUAUAAACAUCAUUUCAUUAGGUCAAUCUAAAAUAUGUUUAAUAUGUGUAAUUCUUUAAAAUAGAUGAAAACUUCAAAUAUGGUUUAGGUCAUUUUCAGAUUUGUCUUAUUUUAGGUUCAAAUCAUUCGAAUUUGAGGCUAAGUUUUUCAUGUCUAAUCAUUAUUGAUCCGAAUCAUUUUAGAUUUUGAUCAUUUUAAGUUCCAAUUAUUUUGUGAUCAAAUCAUUUCAAGUUUAGAUAAAUUUGGGUCGAUUCGAAUUUGACUUAAUUACGUAGUUAACUUUUUUUAUAAUAAAUUGAGCUGAAUGAAAGUUAGAUUGGAAUUUAUUUAGUGUGCCUUUGUGUUUAAUUCGAAAUUUAAACAUCUCCCUUCGAAAUAAACAUGUUAAGACAAUUUUAUUUAAACGACAAUAAUACAACAUAGUUGAUUUGGGAGAUAAACAUGUUAAUUUUUUAAUCCCAACCAAAAUUGUACAUAAUUCUUUUAUGUCAUAUUAAAUACAUGUAGCGUCUUAUAAAAAUUGUCAAUAAAUUAUGCCUAGCGACAACGUUAUUCAACUCUAAUUUCAUUGUUAAUACCUAUUUCUAUUUUUCUUCUACUGUCUUCAACUUUAAAUAUAAAGGGAUUGGAAUUUUAAGAAUUGAGAUUUCUUUUCUCUGUAUUAGUGGACGUUUGAUUUUUUGUUUGAUUGUUUUUUUUACUGGAAUUGACACAUAUCUUUUCAGAUUUAUCAAUAUUUUAAAAUUUAUUUAAGAUAUGUAUAUAAAUAUAUUACAAACGUAAUGGCCCAAUAUUGCCCGGCCCGAUAAUAAAAUAUGAUAAAAUAAAUAAAGGUCCAAUGUCCAGCUUUUACAAACCCAAAAUCAAUACGGCCCAAUUAGCCUAAACCCAAUUAGCUUUAACCCAAACUCUAGCCUAGCCCAAAACCCAAUUUAGCCCAAGACUCUUCCCAAACCCCGAAAACCCUAGCAGCAACAGGAGCCUCCUUCCAGCGCUGCAACCAUAAGCUGGGCUUCUCCACGCACACACUGCCACGCACAUCUCUGUACGACCACCUCCAUACCUCCAGGCUGGCCGAAUACCUGCAAAAAAAAACGCACGGAAACAACAGCAAACAGAAAAACAACAGCAUAGAGGUGAAUUUUUAAUUAUUUUUUCAUUUUAUUUUUUGUAAAUCGGGAUAUAAGAAAGCCAUUCGAAUACUGUAACGGGAUUUACGCAUUCAAUAUACAAAGAAAUUGAGAAUACAAAAGAAUCAAAAAAGCAGAGAAAGGUGAUUUUCUGGGUUUUUUUAUUCCUUUCUAUCUUGUUGGUUACUUGAUUUUUUUUCUUUACUUUUUUAAUUUGUACAUUCAUCAAUCGUUGUUUAAAAAAGAAAUAGGAAAAUGAAAGGGAGGGAAACGUACCUGGUAGCGCGAUCCUGGCUCUCUCCGGCGUCAUUGGAGCAGGGGCUGGGAUCAAUGACUGCUCGAGUACCUUCAAUACCCAGAACGGCGCUGAGUUUUUUUUUCCGUUUAGGUUUUUGUUUUAAUGUAAAGAUAGGUUUUUAGGGUUUAUUUAGUUUUAAGCGAAGGAAUUAAAAUGUCGAUGUUUAAAGUCGAUGCAAUGACUUUGAAACAGCGUCGUUUUAGAGACCAGAUCCGAACGGUGACCCGAUCCGAGAAGGAUCCGUGCAUUAUGGAUCAUUUGGUCUAUUUGUUCAAUAGAUCCAUCUAUGUUUAAUGGAAUUGCGAUUUGAUUUCUUUUAAUUUUUUGUAAUUCGUACUGCAUAUUUUGUUCUGUUUUCAUUUAUCUGUUUUCAUUUAGAUCCAGAUUGAAACGGUAUCGUUUGCUGCAUUUGACUUUGAUUAUUCUAAGCUUUUAGGUUUAAUUGUCGAUUCAGUCCUCCAAUUUUGAAAUAAAUUUUAAUUUAACAUGAGUUUAGCCUUUUAAAAAAAAAGAAAUGAAUAGCAUUUUUUUAAUUAUAAUUAAUCCUAUUUUCGUACAUUAUAAAAUCUAACAUUAUUUGUACUAUUUGAUUUUGAUGUUUUUAAAUCUACAAUUAUUAUAACUUAAGAUAUAAUAGAUCAUUGUUUUAGUUUAUAUCCUAUACUUUAAAUUUAUUAUAUAAUAAUAUUUUGAAUCUACCAUAUUUAUUUAAUUUUGUCUUUUCCUUUUGGUUCCAUUUUAAGUCCCGAUUUUAAAUUUAUUAAUAUUUUCAUUAUAAUUGUUUUUAUUACUCUUCUAAAUUGUUUUAUUAUAUUUAAUUUUGUCUUCAAAAAGUGUUUUUUAAAACAAAUUAAUUCUUAAUUUUAAUUCAUUUUCUAACAUUAUUUUGGUAUUUAGUAUGAUAUUAUUCUCAAAUUUAUUAUUAGUACAUUUUUUAAAAAUAAUACAUUAUUUGUUUAAAUUAUUAUCAAUAUGUUUUAAUUUUAUCAAUAUUAUUUUAAAAAUAUAUAUGAUUUAUAUGAAAUUAUUCUAGUAUAUAUGUAUAUAGAUUACAUCAUUAACUUUGGAUUAACCUCUUUUACAUAAUUUUUUAAAAAUGUUUUAUUCCUUAAACCUUCUUUAUUUUAUUCGUUUUAUAGGUUGCUAAAUUAUUAAUAUGGAUGUUUGUAUGACAUGAUUAAGAUCAAGGUUUAUAUUUUCCUAUUAUUUGUUUAAUUGCUUCUAGUUUAAGUUUAAGUUGUUAUUUAUCUUUUAUAUAUCGUUAUUCAAUCAUGUUUCAUUUGUAAGAGUUGAAUUUUAUUAAAGCAUCAUAAUUCCUAAAAAAGCUUGGUGUUUAAUAGUUCUCGAGAGAAUUGUGCCCUAACUUACUGGGCUUCAAUUCUUCUCGAUGAAUUUAUAUCAUCAAGUAUCCAUUUUAUAUAAUUUUAAAAUAAAAUUCUUUAGAUUUCAAAAUGUGGGAUCCUAACUUACUGGAUACGACAUUUUGUUAUCUCGAUUUUAAAAUAAAGGUAAUAUUUGAUGUUUAAGAAUUUCGAGAAAUUGAACCCUAACUUACUAGAUUCUGAUUUCUCGAUUGACUUAAAUAGUCAAAUAUCCUUCUUAAAACAUGUUUAAAAUUUUUUAAAAAGGGACGAACUUAACUUCGAAGAUUGAACUGUUGCACUCUAACUCACUGAGUGUGGCAAUUUGUUUCUUUGAAAUGGGUCCGUCCACUUAACCAAUUCAAUUGUUUAAGCUUUCAUUUCAUGGGAUCGUAUUUAAAAAUAUUUUCAAGUUUCGACACUAAGACAUUAAAUAACCAAUUCGGUACCAAUUUUGGGCGUUACAAGGGUGCUAACCCUUCCUCAUGCGUAACUGACUUUCGAACUUAUCUUCUCAAAAUUCGCAGACCAAAAAAAUUAUUUUCAUGGUGAUCCGAUCACACCUCAACAAAAAUUGGUGGCGACUCCAAUUUUCAUUUUUUAAAGUCGACUACUAAUAAAUUUUUGUGUUCAAAAAAUGGUUUCGAUAGCUUGGCGACUCCACUGGGGACUAUAAGAGAGUCAAGCCGAAAAAUCGAUUGUUUCCUGUCUUAUCGUCGAAAAUUAAAAAUUUGAUUUGAAAAAUUACGAUCCUUUCUUUGCAUUUGUUUGUAUGAUUACGGUUUUAUACCUUGGCAUCAUAUUGCAUAAAGACUGUUUAGUCUUACCCUUUAAGUGGGAGUGAGUAGCUAUUCCUUCAUGAGGUUUUCACCUCCGUACAGGAUAGUGAAUCACUUUCGGGAUACAUCCGUACCUAUGUCUUUGUGAGAUUUUCAUCUCCGUGCAGCCAUAGGGAAAUGUAUUCCCCCGAACCAAACUCGGUCUGUAUGAGCCUAUAAUGGGUGAAGAUCGAGGAAUCUGUUGGUUCGGGUACCUCAACUUUAGAACCAAACCCCAUAUAGUGGACUUAGAAGCUCAACCUAGUUAGAACUAUUCCAAUCUCUCGUGAUUGCCUAGAUAGAUGAUUGUGUUUCUUAUACUUGAUUUGAAUUUUGUUUUUGUGUUGUACUGACUUGUUUAUGUUUUGUUGAUAUUGUUGCAUGUCACUGCAUAGUUCAAAGAGUGUCGAUUCAAGUUCAGUUACUAAAUUAGAAAACCGUUAUGGCAAACGAAUUUCUGGAUAAAGUGGAGGAUAACGCCAUUGUCAGUAUAUGGUCAGAGAAUGUGCAAUUGGAAAAAGGAGACAAUUUAUCUAAGGGAUACGUGUCAGAGCUUUGGGACUACACUCGUAUUAGUGUGACACAAAAUAGCCUUCAGGAGUUAAAUGAGAUUUGGGAUCGGUGGAAUGAUGAAACCAAGCAGUUGUUCUACUCUAAUUACGGGGACUUGCAGUACUUACUUAAAAUCAAGGUGGAUGAAAGACUGUUUCGCGCUCUCGCUCAAUAUUGGAAUCCUGCAUAUAGUUGUUUUACUUAUGGGAACGUAGAUUUGGUGCCCACAGUGGAGGAAUAUACAGCUUUACUACACUGCCCUAGGCUUCAGGUUGAUAAAGCAUAUUCUAGAGCCGCAUAUGUCCCAGCGUUUUGGAAGAAAUUAAUGAGUAUUACCGGAAUGAGCGAAUAAUGGAUCACGGCCAAGAUCAAACAGAAGGGCGAGUGUAAAUGUAUCCCAUGGAGGAAUUUGCGAGACUUGAUCCUAGCACAUCCUGAUGGGAAAAAGAAAGUUGAUGUGUUUGCUUUGAGUAUCUACGGGUUAGUGAUUUUCCCUAGAGCAUUGGGGCAUGUUAACGAAGUGGUUUCAGAUCUUUUUGAUCGGUUGGGUAAAGGGGUCAAGUCUGUUCCUGCGAUUUUGGCUGAAACGUUUAGAUCUUUGAAUGCGUGUAGGCAUGCUGGUGAAGGCAGAUUUAUAGGUUGUGCGCAAUUGUUGAUAGCUUGGUUCCAUAGUCAUUUCUUGAAGGUCGACAAAGUUUCGUAUCGGGUUUUCUCUGGGCAUUACUCCCCGUUAAAAGAGAUAGUGGCUACGCCAAGAAAGGACGAUAUUUCAGAAGAAAAUUGGAUAGCAAUUCUGUAAAAUCUUCAAGAGGAUGAUGUGGAGUGGAGAGCUCAUUGGUUGAUUCCUGAUGGAAUUCUCUACCGUUGUGAAAGCUUUGACUGGGUUUCGUUGCUUGGGAUUUGGGGAGCCGUCGGGUAUGCACCUUUGCUGGUCCUAAGGCAAUACAAUUCAAGACAGUUUGUGCCGGCAAUGUAUGGUUUAGCUCAAUGUGAGUUCUUGUACCGAGGAGACAAUUACAAGAAAAAGGUGAAAGAAAUUUCUCAGGCUUGUAAUGAGGUUCAUAGGAUGAAAAGGCUAGCUAUGGGUUCGAUGACAACUCCAGAGUAUGGUGAGUGGCGACGUAAAAUAAUUAAUGAUAGCAUUCUGGAGUUAAACUUGGAGGGUGUUCGACUAAUGGAAGAGUACCUACAAGUGAUCCCAUCAGAGUUGGAGAUUAUAAAACAAGAUUUUGAAAAGAGGAAUUUAGAACUUGAAAAGAAAAUAGAGCGGUUGGAAGAAGAGAAGAUGCAUUUGAGGCUAGAUAUUGACGUCCAAAAGUUAAAAGCUGAAAAAUUAAAGAAGUGGAAGAAUAAAGUAGAGGAGGAUCUGGAUAGCUUAAAGACGGACUACAAAAGGCUACGAGUAUCAAUGAGAACUGCUGGGCUGGGAAAGAAUUCAGAGCAGUGGCGACAGGAGAUCUAGGAAGAAAGAAACAAAGUCGAUCGGUGGGAAAGAAAGUCCUGGGAGGCUCAAGUUCAGAACGAGACCUUAGAACGGCAUGUGUUAGAAACUCAAAACUAUUAAGUGGACUUAAAAGCUAGAAUAGCAGAACUAAAGAGAUCACUUGCUGCGUAUAGAAGUCGUAAUUCUGUAGUGGAAUUAAAGAUAAGUCUGUGCAAGAUUGAAGAAAUGAAAAAGAGGAUAGAAGAAUUGGAGUAUGCAUUACAAGGCUGUAAAAAACGGAUCGAAUCCUUGGAAGGAAAUGAAGAGCGUUAGAGGGAGCAAAUUUAUCAUUCGCAGAAUCAAAUUUAGAAUAGAGAUUACAUUAUGGGCAGAGCUAUUGCUCAGAUUCGGGAGGUAGGUGAUCAUUUGCAAACAAUGGCAAUUCAGGCUGACGUGUUAAACGUAAAGUAUGAACUGGAAUCAGAUCGAGGGCAGGAGUUAGCUUCGCUGUUGAAGGAAGUUAAAGCUUUGAGUAUUAGGGCAAAGGCAUACUUGUAAUUCAUUUUAUGUAAAGAAUUUUGUUUAUCAAUAAAUUUUUCUAAAGGAAAUUGGAUCAGAAUCGACGCUCUUUUUGCAUUGAUUUCAUGCAUUUGCAUUACAUGACAUCAUAUGCAUUCAAGACUAUUAAGAAGAGGUUUUAAUUGGUUAAAAUUGUGCUUCAGUUAAUCUGGAAACCAGUAAAAAUUCAUCAAUCAAGCACCACUACGGUACCCGUGCGAAAUCAAAAAUUAUGGAUCAAAGAUUGGAAAAGCUUGAGCGCUUUCAAAAGGAAAUGCAAGAUCAAAUGAAAGAACAAAUGGAAAAGAUUCAGCAUGACAUGAUACAAAAGAUGCAGGAGUCUUAAAAUGACAUGAUGACUAAGUUGACGCAAUUAAUAACCAGAGGAGUAGAUAAAGGGAAAGGUCCUGUGAUUUGUAAUGAAGAAGAAAACAAUGAUGAACCACUUUUUCCUCCAGGUUUUACGCCUCCGCACGCGCAAGUUUAGACUGAACUGCAUCCGCGGAGACCUUCUGUUUCGAUUAGGCCUCAGCAUUUUCAAGGGGAUGUUUCAAUGCCGAAGACCUUUCAGGUCGGAUCUGGCUCUAAUCUUGGUGAUAAUUUGAAUAAUAUUGUUGUCCCGUAUUUCGAUAAAGUAGCUGAGAAGGAUAAGGUGAAGGAAGAGUUUCCAAAGCAGUUUGAGGAGAAAUAGAAAUGGAUUGAAGAGAAAUUUAGAACGAUGGAAAGCAUUGAAAGCUAUGGUGGAAUAGAUGAAAAAAAUCUGAGUCUGGUUUCGAAUUUGGUACUUUAUUACAAGUUUAAGAUGUCAGAAUUUGAGAAAUACAAUGGGACCAGUUGCCCUGAGGCCCAUAUCACCAUGUUCUGUAGGAGAAUAACGGGGUAUAUUAAUAAUGACCAAUUAUUAAUACAUUGCUUUCAGGAUAGUCUUACAAGGGCGGCGUCAAAAUGGUAAAAUCAGCUGAGCCGAACCAAAAUCGCUACUUGGAGGGAUUUGGCACAGGCUUUCAUGAGACAGUACAAUCAUGUAUUACAAAUGACGCCUAAUCGAAUAACUUUACAGAAUUUGGAGAAAAAAUCAAACGAAAGCUUCAGACAGUAUGCGCAGCGAUGGAGGGAAAUCGCAGUUCAGGUUCAGUCAGCACUUGUGGAAAAGAAAAUGACAAUGCUUUUUAUCAAUACAUUGAAAGCCCCGUUCAUUACUCACAUGUUGGGAAGUGCUUCAAAGAACUUCUCGGAUAUAAUCAUGAAUGGUGAAAUGAUUGAGCAUGCUAUUAAGAGUGGAAUAAUAGAUGGAGGGGAGAAUAAUAGAAGGACAGCCCCAAAGAAAAGAGAAAAUGAAGUGAGCAAUGUGAGCGGAUACGGCAGGUCAAUUACGGUUAAUCAACCAGGAAAGGCAGUUGCUAAUCAAUAAAGCUCAUCAAGACAAGAAGUAGGAGGGAGGUAAAACACUAAAAAACCCUAGUUUACGCCAAUUUCGAUGUCAUACGAGGAGUUAUAUCAGAAUUUAUUUAAUGCAUAUGGUGUUUCCCCUCAUUAUUUGACCCCUUUACAACCCCCUUAUCCCAAAUGGUACGAUAUAAAUGCACAAUGUGACUAUCAUGCGGGAAUCUCGGGGCAUUCAAUAGAGAAUUGCAUAACUUUCAAGAAGGUAGUGGAAAAACUCAUCCGCAUGAGUGUUGUCAAAUUUGAUGACUCACCUAACGUAGAAAAUCCGUUACCUAAUCAUGCUGAUAAGGGAGUGAAUAUGAUGGGUGAAAGUAUGGGAGAAAAAGUCAAGAAUGACAUCGGUGAAGUAAAAACUCCAUUGAAACAAGUCUGGAAAGAGAUGGUGAAAAGAGGACUAGUCAUUUCAGAUUUUGAGGAAGAAGAUGAGGUUGAAAAAUAUUGUGAAUUCCACCGUGAAGUAGGACAUGAGAUUCAAGAAUGUGAAGAAUUUAAAGCUCUGGUCCAAAGCAUGAUGGAUAACAAGGAAAUGAAGUUCUAUGAGGAAACAGAGGAAGAAAGAAGCAUAUGCGCGUCGGAAUCAACAACGAAGAUUUCAAAAAUAAAUCAUCCUGUGGUCAUUAUUUCGCACCCUAAGAACAGUAAGGCUAAGGUCUAGGUAACACCAAAAAUUAUAAUCCAUAAGCCGUCAAAUUUCUCAUAUAAAGAUAGUAAAAUGGUUCCGUGGAAGUAUGGAUGCAAUGUGACAAUCUCAACGUUUUUAUUUUUGUUUUAUUUUUAUUUUACAUUAAUUUUACCUAUUCUUUAAUUAAAAAAUUUAUAAUGACUUAGAGUUUAUUUAAUAGAGUUUUUUUUUAUAAUCGGUCUUAUAAUAAAAUUUUAUAAGGUGGGACCAAGUCCCACAGUGACAACAUGAUCCCUCAAUUUUUGGUGGUGGGAUGCCUUUAGUCAAAGGAUCAACUAACAUCUGCUCAAUGCUAAUGUGCUCAAUGACCAAUUUCUUUUCAUUAACAUGUUCCCUUAUGCCUAGGUACUUAAAGUCGAUAUGUUUACUUCGACUUCCACUUCUUUCAUUCUUAGCCAUAAAGACAGCAGUUGAAUUGUCACAAUAUAUGAAAUAAUCAAAACCCAUAAUGACUCAGCCCAAAAAACUCGAGCUUCAAACCCAAAUUAAAUUAAAUCAAAACCAUAAUUUAUUAUGUACAAUUGCACAAAAUUAACAUAAUUUAAGUGUGUCAUACUGCACAUUAAAUUAAAGUUUACGUUUGACAUUAUAGAUAAUAUUCACGUGUAAAAUUUUGAGAUUUAUUCCUUUCAUUAAAGUAAUAUGUCAAAUAGAAUACUUGAACAAUCCUCCAUGUUGGCAAAGUUUAUGUACAGUAGUAGAAGUGAACUAAAUAAUUAGAAUAAAUCUAAAGUAUGUCUUACAUAUAAUUUAUUCACAAUGUGACUUAAACUUUGUCCUUCAAGAUUUCACGGUCUCAAUUUAUGUCUUAAAAUUUUAAGAUCAUUUUAGGUUUGUUAAAAAAUUAAAAUUUUAGAAAGUUAGAAUUGUUGCUUGAGGCGUGAAUAUUCUUAUUCUUUAGGAUAUUUGUGGAUUUACCAUCUCUUAGGAUUUCGUUUGUAUCAUGCACAAUGAAAAAAUUGAAAAAAAAAUUUCCCAUUUGAAUGGAAUUGAGCUAUUAGGCUCAAGCCUAGUGUGCGCAUAUAUAUUCUCUUAUUUUGAGUCUUACAAGUUUAUAGUAAACCAAAUCUAUAUAAACAUCAUUUAAUAGGUCAAUCUAAAAUAUGUUUAAUAUGUGUAAUUCUUUAAAAUAGAUGAAAACUUCAAAUAUGGUUUAGGUCAUUUUCAGAUUUGUCUUAUUUUAGGUUCAAAUCAUUCGAAUUUGAGGCUAAGUUUUCCAUGUCUAAUCAUUAUUGAUCCGAAUCAUUUUAGAUUUUGAUCAUUUUAAGUUCCAAUUAUUUUGUGAUCAAAUCAUUUCAAGUUUAGAUAAAUUUGGGUCAAUUCGAAUUUGACUUAAUUACGUAGUUAACUUUUUUUUAUAAUAAAUUGAGCUGAAUGAAAGUUAGAUUGAAAUUUAUUUAGUGUGCCUUUGUGUUUAAGUCGAAAUUUAAACAUCUUCCUUCAAAAUAAACAUGUUAAGACAAUUUUAUUUUAAAGACAAUAAUACAACAUAGUUGAUUUGGGAGAUAAACAUGUUAAUUUUUUAAUCCCAACCAAAAUUGUACAUAAUUCUUUUAUGUCAUAUUAAAUACAUGUAACGUCUUAUAAAAAUUGUCAAUAAAUUAUGCCUAGCGACAACGUUAUUCAACUCUAAUUUCAUUGUUAAUACCUAUUUCUAUUUUUCUUCUACUGUCUUCAACUUUAAAUAUAAAGGGAUUGAAAUUUUAAGAAUUGAGAUUUCUUUUCUCUGUAUUAGUGGACGUUUGAUUUUUUGUUUGAUUGUUUUCUUUACUGGAAUUGACACAUAUCUUUUCAGAUUUAUCAAUAUUUUUAAAAUUUAUUUAAGAUAUGUAUAUAAAUAUAUUACAAACGUAAUGGCCCAAUAUUGCCCGGCCCGAUAAUAAAAAAUGAUAAAAUAAAUAAAGGUCCAAUGUCCAGCUUUUACAAACCCAAAAUCAAUACGGCCCAAUUAGCCUAAACCCAAUUAGCUUUAACCCAACUUAGCCCAAGACUCUCCUUAAACCCUGAAAACCCUAGGCAACAGGAGCCUCCUUCCAGCGCCGCAACCAUCAGCUGGGCUUCUCCAUGCACACGCUGCCACGCACAUCUCCGUACGGCCACCUCCGUACCUCCAGGCUGGCCGAAUACCUGUAAAAAAAACGCACGGAAACAACAGCAAAUAGAAAAACAACAGCAUAGGGGUGAAUUUUUAAUUAUUUUUUCAUUUUAUUUUCUGUAAAUCGGGAUAUAAGAAAGCCAUUCGAAUACUAUAACGGGAUUUACGCAUUCAAUAUACAAAGAAAUUGAGAAUACAAAAGAAUCAAAAAAGCAGAGAAAGGUGAUUUUCUAGGUUUUUUAUUCCUUUCUAUCUUGUUGGUUACUUGAUUCUUUUCUUUACUUUUUUAAUUUGUACGUUCAUCAAUCGUUGUUUAAAAAAGAAAUAGGAAAAAGAAAGGGAGGGAAACGUACCUGGUAGCGCGACCCUGGCUCUCUCCGGCGUCAUCGGAGCAGGGGCUGGGAUCAAUGACUGCUCGAAUACUUUCAAUACCUAGAGCGGCGCUGAGUUUUUUUUCGUUUAGGUUUUUGUUUUAAUGUAAAGAUAGGUUUUUAGGGUUUAUUUAGUUUUAAGUGAAGGAAUUAAAACGUCGACGUUUAAAGUCGAUGCAAUGACUUUGAAACAGCGUCGUUUUAGAGACCAGAUCCGAACGGUGACUUGAUCCGGGAAGGAUCCAUGCAUUAUGGAUCAUUUGGUCUAUUUGUUCAAUAGAUCCCUCUAUGUUUAAUGGAAUUGCGAUUUGAUUUCUUUUAAUUGUUUGUAAUUUGUACUGCAUAUUUUGUUCUGUUUUCAUUUAGAUCCAGAUUGAAAUGGUAUCGUUUACUGCGUUUGACUUUGAUUAUUCGGAGCUUUUGGGUUUAAUUGUCGAGUCAGUCCUCCAAUUUUGAAAUAAAUUUUAAUUUAACAUGAGUUUAGCCUUUUAAAAAAGAAGAAGAAGAAAUCAAUAGCAUUUUUUAAUUAUAAUUAAUCCUAUUUUCGUACAUUAUAAAACCUAACAUUAUUUGUAAUAUUUGAUUUUUAUGUUUUUAAAUCUACAAUUAUUAUAACUUAAGAUAUAAUAGAUCAUUGUUUUAGUUUAUAUCCUAUACUUUAAAUUUAUUAUAUAAUAAUAUUUUGAAUCUACCAUAUUUAUUUAAUUUUGUCUUUUCCUUUUGGUUCCAUUUUAAGUCCCGAUUUUAAAUUUAUUAAUAUUUUCAUUAUAAUUGUUGUUAUUACUCUUCUAAAUUGUUUUACUAUAUUUAAUUUUCUCUUCAAAAAGUGUUUUUUAAAACAAAUUAAUUCUUAAUUUUAAUUCAUUUUCUAACAUUAUUUUGGUAUUUAGUAUGAUAUUAUUUUCAAAUUUAUUAUUAGUACAUUUUUUAAAAUAAUACAUUAUUUUUUUAAAUUAUUAUCAAUAUGUUUUAUUUUAUCAAUAUUAGUUUAAAAAUAUAUAUGAUUUAUAUGAAAUUAUUCUAGUAUAUAUGUAUAUAGAUUACAUCAUUAACUUUAGAUUAACCUCUUUUACAUAAUUUUUUUAAAAUGUUUUAUUCCUUAAACCUUAUUUAUUUUAUUUGUUUUAUAGGUUGUUAAAUUAUUAAUAUGGAUGUUUGUAUGACAUGAUUAAGAUCAAUGUUUAUAUUUUCCUAUUAUUUGUUUAAUUGCUUCUAGUUUAAGUUUAAGUUGUUAUUUAUCUUUUAUAUAUCGUUAUUUAAUCAUGUUUUAUUUGUAAGAAUUGAAUUUUAUUAAAGCAUCAUAAUUCCUAAAAAAGCUUGGUGUUUAAUAGUUCUCAAGAGAGUUGUGCCCUAACUUACUGGGCUUCAAUUCUUCUCGAUGAAUUUAUAUCAUCAAGUAUCCACUUUAUACAAUUUUAAAAUAAAAUUCUUUAGAUUUCAAAAUGUGGGAUCCUAGCUUACUGGAUACGACAUUUUGUUAUCUCGAUGUUAAAAUAAAUGCAAUAUUUGAUGUUUAAAAAUUUCAAGAAAUCGAACCCUAACUUACUAGAUUCUGAUUUCUCGAUUGACUUAAAUAGUCAAAUAUCCUUCUUAAAACAUGUUUAAAAUUUUCAAAAAAGGGACGAACUUAACUUCGAAGAUUGAACUGUUGCACUCUAACUCACUGAGUGUGGCGAUUUGUUUCUUUGAAAUGGGUCCGUCCACUUAACCAAUUCAAUUGUUUAAGUUUUCAUUUCAUGGGAUCGUAUUUAAAAAUCUUUUCAAGUUUCGACACUAAGACAUUAAAUAACCAAUUCGGUACCAAUUUUGGGCGUUACGAGGGUGCUAACCCUUCCUCGUGUGUAACCGACUUCCGAACUUAUCUUCUCAAAAUUCGCAGACCAAAAAACUUGUUUUCAAGGUGAUCCGAUCACACCUCAACAAAAAUCGGUGGCGACUCCAAUUUUCAUUUUUUAAAGUCGACUACUAAUAAAUUUUUGUUUUCAAAAAAUGAUUUCGACAACAAAUAUAAAAUAAAUGAAACUAAAUACAUUUCAAAUAUAAAAUAUUCAAUAAUAAACUUAACAAAUAAAAAUUUAUCAUUGAAAUAAAUCCAAAAUUAUUAAUAACAAUCCAUCAUUUAAUAUGAAAUUUUAAAGAUUUAGCUCAUUUACUUAAUAAGAGAAGCUGAAAGGUGAACGAAUAUAUAUUUCUUUUAGAAUCAGGUGAACGGUUUUUUCUUAACUAUAUUUUGAAUGUGAAAGUAUAUUCCAUUUUUUAAAAACUUUACAUUUCCAUGUAGCAUUUUUAGUUAGUUACGUUUCAAUUAAGUUUUUAGCAUAAUAGUAAAUAAUUAAAAGUUUAAUAUUUUUAAUAUUAUUCAUGCACAGGACGGUGCAUUAUGUUCUGGUAGGUGUGACAGGAAUUGAUCGGAAUGAGUUGGUGCAAUUGGUACAGACCGAAAUUUUGACCAGUGUAGAAAAAGCGUGUUGGGUGUUUUGCAAUGUUAUUAAAACCAAACUAAACAGACCAAGAACCGAUGAACCUGAGGACUAGAGUAAACUGUAGUUAAACUACAAAUCAUCAGUCGAUUAAGCCGUAUUUAAACAUUUUCUAAACUUGAAAAAUAAAAAAUUCACAUCAAAUCCCUUGAGCUUUUGUCACACUUCUUAUCUGCACUCAAUGAAAUAAAACACAACAAAAAAUAAGCACCAUUCCUUUUAUUACUUUUUCUACUAAAGUAAGUUUUUUUUUCUCGUAAAAAACCUAAGAUGGACUUAUAACAUUCAAUCAAAGGAAAAACAAAUUAGGAAAGUAGAAAGAUGGGGAGAGAGUUUUAAAAUUCAAAGCCUUUAAAAUUGAUAGAUGAGUUUGGGGUUAUUAAUAUUAUUUUAUAUUGUUGAAUAGAAAAUGAAUUGUAUUGGUGGUUGAAUGUGUGAGAUUAAGAAUUAAUGAUUUGAUUAAUUUGAUUAUCAAUCUAAUUUUAUAAAUAGUAAUAUUUCGAUAUAAAAUUGAAACAGUAGACACAAAUGAGCAUAACCGAAAUCUGUAACCACCUUAAUUUAAUACAUAAUUUGAGAUUCAUAUAAAAUAUUAUCUUUGAAAUAUAUUGAAAGAGGAAAGUAAUCGUACGUAAAUGCAUAACUUGGAAGAGAUAAUGAAGCAGGAAUCAUUAUAUUAACAGUGGUAUUUUCUCGAUGUACGGCUGCACAAUAUCUUGACCUGCAUUUCUCGUUUGAUUCUUUUCUUAAUUAGCUAAACUCAUGUUAACAAUGGUAUAACAGUAAUUAAUUACUUCAUGGACAGAACAUCAAUAUAUAAAUACCCCAUAUAUAAUAAGCAACAACGUAUCAAAAUACACCAAAUAAUGGGAACUGGAGAACGCCCAUUUAUACAAACAAAUAUAAGUAGGAAAAAUCAAUACUCAUAAUAAAGACACAAAGAGGACUAAAAACCUUAUUAAACUAGAUCCAGUAUGUAGCAUAACAGAAAAGGGGGCAUUUCAAGGAGUAGAACUAGAAGGUGGUGGAGAAAAGAAAGGAAUAGAGGGAACUGCAGCUGGGAUUGAGGGAAUGUUUGGAAGAGGCGGCAGUCCUCUUGGCAAUGUGGUAGGAAGUGGAGGAAGCGCCCCAGGGUUUGGGAGAUAAGGGAAAGAUGGCAAUGGUGGAAAAUAGAAAGGAAUAGGGGGAACAGCAGUUGGGAUUGUGGGGACUGAGGGAAUGCUUGGCAGAGGGGGUAGUCCUGUUGGCAAUGUGGUAGGAAGUGGAGGAAGCGCCCCAGGCCAUGGGAAUGAUUGUCGGGAUGGCGUUGGGAGAUUAGAGAAAGAUGGUAAACUUCGCGGUUGAGGCUGCUGCAGAAGGUGACGAGCUGCUACCCCAACAUCAAUGCUUGCAAAUGACAAAGCAAUCAAGAAUGCUAAAGCAAGGCAAUUGAAAGAGGCCAUUUUUGUUCAGAGAUUUCGAAACAAAUGAAGCAGAUGAAACAAAGUUCUUUAUCUGAAUAGUUGUGGGUGAAGAAAACAAAGCACGGUAUUGAGGUUUAUAUAGGCAUUGGAGCAAUGAAUAGAAAUCCCCUGCCCCUAAACAAUGCCCCAUGCAUGCCCCCAAACCAAAAUAGCGCCACAUGUUUUUUAUUUUUUUCCAUUUUAGUUGUAGUUCAUUUUUUAAAUAAAAAUUUAUAAUGAUUUGGAUGAAUUUUUAACUUAUUAUCAACGUUUUUGUUUUUGUUUUAUUUUCUAUUAAUUUUACCUAUUCUUUAAUUAACAAAUUUAUAAUGACUUGGAAUUAAUUUAACAGUGUUUUUUUUUAUAAUCGUUCUUAUAAUAAAAUUUAAAAAGGUGGGAACGAGUCCCACAAUGACAACAUGAUCCAUGCCUUUAGUCAAAGGUUCAGAUAACAUCUGCUCAGUGUUAAUGUGCUCAAUGACGACUUUCUUUUCUUUAACAUAUUCCCUUAUGGCUAGAUACUUAAAAUCGAUAUGUUUACUUCGACUUUCACUUUUGUCGCUCUUAGCCAUAAAUACAGCAAUUGAAUUGUCACAAUAUAUGAAAUAAUCGAAACCUAUAAUGACUCAGCUCAAAAAACUCGAGCCUCAAACCCAAAUUAAAUUAAAUCAAAAUCAUAAUUUAUUAUAUACAAUUGCAUAAAAUUAACAUAAUUUAAGUGUCAUAGUGCACAUUAAAUUAAAGUUUAUGUUUGACAUUAUAGAUUGAAGCAAUAUUCAUGUGUAAAAUUUUGAGAUUUAUUUCCUUAAUGAAAGUAAUAUUUCAAAUAGAAUACUUGAACAAUCCUCCAUGUUGGCAAACUUUAUGUACAUUAGAAACGAACUAAAUAAUUAGAAUAAAUCUAAAGUAUGGCUUACAUUUAAUUUAUUCAUAAUGUGACUUAAACUUUGGCCUUCAAGAUUUCACGGUCUCAAAUUAUGUCUUAAAAUUUUAAGAUCAUUUUAGGUUUGUUAAAAACAUCAAUAGUUUAGAAAGUUAGAAUUGUUGCUUGAGGCGUGGAUUUCCCUAUUCUUUAGGAUAUUCGUGGAUUUACUAUCCCUCAAGAUUUAAUUUGUAUCAUGUGCAAUGAAAAAAUUGAAAAAGAAAAUUCCCAUUUGAAUGGAAUUGAGCUAUUAGGCUCAGGCCUCGUGUGCGCAUAUAUAUUCUCUUAUUUUGAGUCUUACAAGUUUAUAGUAAACCAAAUCUAUAUAAACAUCAUUUUAUAAGUGUAUCUAAGAUAUGUUUAAUAUGUGUAAUUCUUUAAAAUACAUGAAAACUUCAAAUGUGGUUUAGGUCAUUUUCAGAUUUGUCUUAUUUAGGUUCAAAUCAUUCGAAUUUGAGGCUAAGUUUUUCAUGUGUAAUCAUUAUUGAUCCGAAUCAUUUUAGAUUUUGAUCAUUUUAAGUUCUAAUUAUUUUGUGAUCAAAUCAUUUCAAGUUUAGAUAAAUUUGGGUCAAUUUUGAAUUUGACUUAAUUACGUAAUUAACCUUUUUUAUAAUAAAUUGAGCUGAAUGAACUUUAGAUUGGAAUUUAUUUAGUGUACCUUUGUGUUUAAGUUGAAAUUUAAACAUCUGUAUUAGAAAUACACAUGUUAAUACAAUUUUAUGUUAAAGACAAUAAUACGACAAAAUUAAUUUGGGAGAUAAACAUGUUAAUUUUUUAAUCCCAACCAAAAUUGUACAUAAUUGUUUUAUAUCAUAUUAAAUACAUGUAACGUCUUAUAAAAAUUGUCAAUAAAUUAUGCCUAGCGACAACGUUAUUCAAAUCUAAUUUCAUUGUUAAUACCUAUUUCUAUUUUUCUUCUAAUAUCUUCAACUUUAAAUAUAAAGGAAUUGAAAUUUUAAGAAUUGAGAUUUCUUUUCUUUAUAUUAGUGGACAUUUGAUUUUUUGUUUGAUUUUUUUUACUAGAAUUGAUGCAUAUCUUUUCAGAUUUAUCAAUAUUUUUUAAAAUUAUUUAAGAUAUGUAUAUAAAUAUAUUACAAAUAUAAAAUGAAUGAAACUAAAUACAUUUCAAAUAUAAAAUAUUCAUUAAUAAACUUAACAAAUAAAAAUUUAUCAUUCAAAGAAAUCCAAAAUUAUUAAUAAUAAUCCAUCAUUUAAUAUGAAAUUCUAAAGAUUUAGCUCAUUUACUUAAUAAAAGAAGGUGAAAGGUGGACGAAUAUUUUUUAUUUGAUAAUCAGGUAAAUGGUUUUUUCUUAAUUAUAUUUUGAAUGUGAAAGUAUAUUCCAUUUUUUUUUAAAAUUUACAUUCCGAUGUAGCGUUUUUAAUUAGUCACGUUUCAAUUAAGUUUUUAGCAUAAUAGUAAAUUAUUAAAAGUUUAAUAUUUUUAAUAUUAUUCAUGCAUAGGACGGUGCACUAUGUUCUGGCAGGUGUGACAGGAAUUGAUCGGAAUGAGUUGGUGCAAUUGGUACAGACCAAAAUUUUUACCAGUGUAGAAAAAGGGUUUUGGGUGUUUCGCAAUGUUAUUGAAACCAAACCAAACAGACCAAAAACCGAUGAACCCGAGAACUAGAGUAAACUGCAGUUAAACUGCAAAUCAUCAGCUGAUUAAGCCGCAUUUCGCAUUUUCUAGACUGGAAAACAAAAAUUUCACUUCAGAUCCCUUGAGCUUUUGUUACACUUCUUCUCUUAACUCAAAAUAAAACAAACCAUACAAAGAAUAAGCACUGUUUCUUUUAUUACUUUUUUAUUACUCAGUGAAAAACCUGGACUUAUAACAUUCAAUCAAAGGAAAAAAAAGACAAAUUAGGAAAGAUGAAAGAUGGGGAGAGGGUUUUAAAAUUCAAAGCCGUCAAAAUAGAUGAGUUUGGGGUUAUUAAUAUUAUUUUAUAUUGUUCAAUAGAAAAUUAAUUGUAUCGGUGGUUGAAUCUGUGAGAUCAAAAAUUAAUUAAUUGAUUAAUUUAAUUAUCAAUCUAAUUUUAAAAAUAUUAAUAUUUCGGUAUAAAAUUAAUACAGUGCACACAAAUUAAUAUAACCGAAAUCUGUACGAAACCGAGCACCUUAAUUUAAUACAUAAUUUGACAUUCAUAUAAAAUAUUAUCUUGGAAAUAUAUUGAAAGAGGAAAGUAAUCGUAUGUAAAUGGAUAACUUGGAAGAGAUAAUGAAGCAGGAAUCAUUAUAUUAACAGUGGCAUCUUCUCGAUGUACGGCGGCUCACUAUUUUGACUGCAUUUAUCGUUUGAUUCUUUUCUUAAUUAGCCAAACUCAUGUUAACAAUGGUAUAACAGUAAUUAAUUACUUCAUGGAUAGAACAUCAAUAUAUAAAUACCCCAUAUAUAAUAAGCAACAACGUUUCAAAAUACACCAAAUAAUGGGAAUUGGAGAACGCCCAUUUAUACAAACAAAUAUAAGUGGGCAAAAUCAAUACUCAUAAUAAAGACACAAAGACGACUAAAAACCUUAUUAAACUAGAUCCAGUAUGCAGCAUAACAGAAAAGGGGGUAUUUCAAGGAGUAGAGCGAGAAGGUGGUGGAGAAAAGAAAGGAAUAGAAGGAACUGCAGUUGGGAUUGAGGGAAUGCUUGGCAGAGGCGACAGUCCUCUUGGCAAUGUGGUAGGAAGUGGAGGAAGCGCCCCAGGGUUUGGGAGAUAAGGGAAAGAUGGCAAUGGUGGAAAAGAGAAAGGAAUAGGGGGAAUUGCAGUUGGGAUUGUGGGGACUGAGGGAAUGCUUGGCAGAGGGGGCAGUCCUGUUGGGAAUGUGGUAGGAAGUGGAGGAAGCGCCCCAGGCCAUGGGAAUGAUUGUCGGGAUGGCGUUGGGAGAUUAGGGAAAGAUGGUAAACUUUGCGGUUGAGGCUGCUGCAGAAGGUGACGAGCUGCUACCCCAACAUCAAUGCUUGCAAAUGACAAAGCAAUCAAGAAUGCUAAAGCAAGGAAAUUGAAAGAGGCCAUUUUUGUUCAGAGAUUUCGAAACAAAUGAAGCAGAUGAAACAAAGUUCUUUAUCUGAAUAGUUGUGGGUGAAGAAAACAAAGCAUGGUAUUGAGGUUUAUAUAGGCAUUGGAGCAGUGAAUAGAAAUCCCCUGCCCCUAAACAAUGCUCCAUGCAUGCCCCCAAACCAAAAUAGCUCCACAUGUUUUUUAUUUUUUUCAUUUUAAUUUUUUAAAAUAAAAACUCUGUAAUGAUUUGAAUUAAUUUUUAACUUAUUAUCAACGUUUUUAUUUUUGUUUUAUUUUUAUUUUACAUUAAUUUUACCUAUUCUUUAAUUAACAAAUUUAUAAUGACUUAGAGUUAAUUUGAGAGAUUUUUUUUUUAUAAUUGGUCUUAUAAUAAAAUUUUACAAAGCAGAAACAAGUUCCACUGUGAAAACAUGAUCCUUAAAUUUUUGGAGAUAACCAUGUUAAUUUUUUAAUCCCAACCAAAAUUCUAAAUAAUUCUUUUAUGUCAUAUUAAAUACACGUAACGUCUUAUAAAAAUUGUCAAUAAAUUAUGCAUAGUGACAAGGUUAUUCAAAUCUAAUUUCAUUGUUAAUACCUAUUUCUAUUUUUCUUCUACUGUCUUCAACUUUAAAUAUAAAGGGAUUGAAAUUUUAAGAAUUGAGAUUUCUUUUCUCUGUAUUAGUGGACGUUUGAUUUUUUAUUUUAUUUUUUUAUUGGAAUUGAUACAUAUCUUUUCAGAUUUAUCAAUAUAUUUUAAAAUUUUAUAAGAUAUGUAUAUAAAUAUAUUAAAAAUAUAAAAUGAAUGAAACUAAAUACAUUUCACAUAUAAAAUAUUCAUUAAUCAACUUAAGAAAUAAAAAUUUAUCAUUCAAAUAAUCCAAAAUUAUUACUAAUAAUCUCAUUUAAUAUGAAAUUUUAAGGAUUUAGCUCAUUUACUUAAUAAAAGUAGUUGAAAGGUGAAUGAAUAUUUUUUUUAUAAUCGGGUGAAUGGUUUUUUUCUUAAUUAUAUUUUUAAUGUGAAAGUAUAUUCUAAUUUUUUUUAAAAACUUUACAUUCCGAUGUAGCAUUUUUAAUUAGUCACGUUUCAAUUAAGUUUUUAGCAUAAUAGAAAAUAAUUAAAAGUUUAAUAUUUUUAAUAUUAUUCAUGCGCAGGACGGUGCACUAUGUUCUGGCAGGUGUGACUGGAAUUGAUCGGAAUGAGUUGGUGCAAUUGGUACGGACCGAAAUUUUUACCAGUGUAGAAAAAGGGUGUUGGGUGUUUCACAAUAUUAUUGAAAGCAAACCAAAAAGACCAAGAACCGAUGAACCCGAGAACUAGAGUAAACUGCAGUUAAACUACAAAUCAUCUGUCGAUUAAGUCGUAUUUUCACAUUCUUUAAACCGGAAAAACAAAAAUUACACUUCAAAUCCCUUGAGCCAUUGUUAUACUUUUUCUCUGCACUCAAUGAAAUAAAACACAACAUAAAAAAAAUAAGCACCAUCUCUUUUAUUACUUUUACUACUAAAAUAACUUUUUUUUUCUUGUGAAAAACCUAAGAUGGACUUAUAACAUAUAAUAAAAAGGGAAAAAAAAGACAAAUUAGGAAAGAUGAAAGAUGGGGAGAGGGUUUUAAAAUUCAAAGCCGUCAAAAUAGAUGAGUUUGGGGUUAUUAGUAUUAUUUUAUAUUGUUCAAUAGAAAAUUAAUUGUAUCGGUGGUUGAACCUGUGAGAUCAAAAAUUAAUUAAUUGAUUAAUUUAAUUAUCGAUCUAAUUUUAAAAAUAUUAAUAUUUCGGUAUAAAAUUAAUACAGUGCACACAAAUUAAUAUAACCGAAAUCUGUACGAAACCGAGCACCUUAAUUUAAUACAUAAUUUGACAUUCAUAUAAAAUAUUAUCUUGGAAAUAUAUUGAAAGAGGAAAGUAAUCGUAUGUAAAUGGAUAACUUGGAAGAUAUAAUGAAGCAGGAAUCAUUAUAUUAACAGUGGCAUCUUCUCGAUGUACGACUGCUCACUAUUUUGACUGCAUUUAUCGUUUGAUUCUUUUCUUAAUUAGCCAAACUCAUGUUAACAAUGGUAUAACAGUAAUUAAUUACUUCAUGGACAGAACAUCAAUAUAUAAAUACCCCAUAUAUAAUAAGCAACAACGUAUCAAAAUACACCAAAUAAUGGGAAUUGGAGAACGCCCAUUUAUACAAACAAAUAUAAGUGGGCAAAAUCAAUACUCAUAAUAAAGACACAAAGACGAUUAAAAGCCUUAUUAAACUAGAUCCAGUAUGCAGCAUAACAGAAAAUGGGGUAUUUCAAGGAGUAGAGCGAGAAGGUGGUGGAGAAAAGAAAGGAAUAGAGGGAACUGCAGUUGGGAUUGAGGGAAUGCUUGGCAGAGGCGGCAGUCCUCUUGGCAAUGUGGUAGGAAGUGGAGGAAGCGCCCCAGGGUUUGGGAGAUAAGGGAAAGAUGGCAAUGGUGGAAAAGAGAAAGGAAUAGGGGGAACUGCAGUUGGGAUUGUGGGGACUGAGGGAAUGCUUGGCAGGGGGGGUAGUCCUGUUGGCAAUGUGGUAGGAAGUGGAGGAAGCGCCCCAGGCCAUGGGAAUGAUUGUCGGGAUGGAGUUGGGAGAUUAGGGAAAGAUGGUAAACUUUGCGGUUGAGGCUGCUGCAGAAGGUGACGAGCUGCUACCCCAACAUCAAUGCUUGCAAAUGACAAAGCAAUCAAGAAUGCUAAAGCAAGGCAAUUGAAAGAGGCCAUUUUUGUUGAGAGAUUUCGAAACAAAUGAAGCAGAUGAAACAAAGUUCUUUAUCUAAAUAGUUG